AGGGGGUUAGUCCAAACAAGACCUCUGAUUUCGGCUCAGAAAAUCGCAGUUAAAAUCCGUGACUCCCUU
This 69-nucleotide transfer RNA is filed under the name Leptoderma macrophthalmum. RNAcentral describes it as "tRNA-Arg". It matches the Rfam family "tRNA". From Rfam's summary of the family: Transfer RNA (tRNA) molecules are approximately 80 nucleotides in length. RNAcentral also lists the same sequence under 1 other name. Lineage: Eukaryota; Metazoa; Chordata; Actinopteri; Alepocephaliformes; Alepocephalidae. The record is from RNAcentral.